Molecule: ribosomal RNA, 444 nt
Filed under: uncultured bacterium
Lineage: Bacteria
Description: partial 16S ribosomal RNA
Rfam family: Bacterial small subunit ribosomal RNA
Source: RNAcentral
CCUACGGGAGGCAGCAGUGGGGAAUAUUGGGCAAUGAAGGAAACUCUGACCCAGCAAUGCCGCGUGAAUGAAGAAGGUCUUCGGAUUGUAAAGUUCUUUAGUCAGGGAAGAAUAAAUUGACGGUACCUGAAUAAUAAGCUCCGGCUACCUACGUGCCAGCAGCCGCCUUAAUACGUAGGGAGCAAGCGUUGUUCGGAAUGACUGGGCGUAAAGGGUGCGUAGGCGGUUAUACAAGUUAGAGGUGAAAUACCCAGGGCUUAACUCGGGGGAUGCUUCUAAAACUGUCAGACUUGAGUGCAGUAGAGGUGAGUGGAAUUCCUAGUGAAGCGGUGGAAUGCGUAGAUAUUAGGAGGAACACCAGAGGCGAAGGCGGCUAACUGGACUGCAACUGACGCUGAGGCACGAAAGUGUGGGGAGCAAACAGGAUUAGAUACCCGAGUAGUC